This 253-nucleotide ribosomal RNA is filed under the name uncultured bacterium. RNAcentral's name for it is "partial 16S ribosomal RNA". It matches the Rfam family "Bacterial small subunit ribosomal RNA", at positions 524 to 776 of the family's 1533-position model. The record is from RNAcentral.
UACGUAGGGGGCUAGCGUUGUCCGGAAUCAUUGGGCGUAAAGCGCGCGUAGGCGGCCAGAUAAGUCCGGUGUGAAAGUCACAGGCUCAACCUGUGAAUGCCGCUGGAAACUGUCUGGCUUGAGUCCGGAAGGGGCGAGUGGAAUUCCUGGUGUAGCGGUGAAAUGCGUAGAUAUCUGGAGGAACACCGGUGGCGAAGGCGGCAUUCUGGACCGAAACUGACGCUGAGGCGCGAAAGCCAGGGGAGCAAACGGG